This 450-nucleotide ribosomal RNA is filed under the name Triticum aestivum (bread wheat). RNAcentral's name for it is "partial small subunit ribosomal RNA". Lineage: Eukaryota; Viridiplantae; Streptophyta; Magnoliopsida; Poales; Poaceae. The record is from RNAcentral.
AUGGGGAGCCUGAACGUAGUAGAGAGGAGGUGGUUCGUCGGCGCAUGGGGUAGCUCUCUCCCUGAAGGUCACAAAAUGGCUAAAAGUUGGUACGAAGCAAAGAAAAUCCUCCGUGCACUUAAGAUGCCCUAUGAGCAGAUACAUGCUUGUCCAAACGGAUGUGUCUUAUUUACAAAAGAGUAUGCCGACGACAAGUACUGUGCUAAGUGCAAAGCCUCUAGGUAUGUUGAGAGAGACCUUGGUGAUGGUGUGAAGAAGCAGAGCAAAGUCCCUGCAAAUGUUCUUCGGUAUCUUCCAAUCUUGCCAAGAGUUCAACGGCUUUUCUUGAACGAAGAUACGGCCAAAAUGAUGACAUGGCACAAAUAUGGGAAAAGACUUGACAAGGAUGAUCAUGGGAGGCCGAUGAUGGUACAUGCGUCUUGUGGCCAAGCAUGGAAGAUUUUUGAUUGA